This 482-nucleotide ribosomal RNA is filed under the name uncultured bacterium. Its description in RNAcentral is "partial 16S ribosomal RNA". It matches the Rfam family "Bacterial small subunit ribosomal RNA", at positions 28 to 507 of the family's 1533-position model. The record is from RNAcentral.
GACGAACGCUGGCGGCGUGCUUAACACAUGCAAGUCGAACGACGAAGAAGAGAAACGCGAACUUCGGUUCAAAUUUCACUUCGGAUUAGUGGCAGACGGGUGAGUAACGCGUGAGCAACCUACCUCUUACAAAGGGAUAGCCUCGGGAAACCGUGAUUAAUACCAUAUGACACAUUCAUAAGGCAUCUUAAGAAUGUUAAAGCUACGGCGGUAAGAGGUGGGCUCGCGUCCCAUUAGCUAGUUGGUGAGGUAACGGCCCACCAAGGCGACGAUGGGUAACCGGCCUGAGAGGGUGAACGGUCACAUUGGAACUGAGACACGGUCCAAACUCCUACGGGAGGCAGCAGUGGGGAAUAUUGCACAAUGGAGGGAACUCUGAUGCAGCGACGCCGCGUGAGCGAUGAAGGAAUUCGUUUCGUAAAGCUCUGUUCUAUGGGAAGAAAAGGACUGUACCAUAGGAGAAAGCCCCGGCUAAAUACGUG